UACGUAGGGUGCGAGCGUUAAUCGGAAUUACUGGGCGUAAAGCGUGCGCAGGCGGUUGUGCAAGACAGGUGUGAAAUCCCCGGGCUUAACCUGGGAACUGCACUUGUGACUGCAUAGCUGGAGUACGGCAGAGGGGGAUGGAAUUCCGCGUGUAGCAGUGAAAUGCGUAGAUAUGUGGAGGAACAUCGAUGGCGAAGGCAGUCCCCUGGGCCGAUAUUGACGCUCAGGCACGAAAGCGUGGGGAGCAAACAGG
RNAcentral lists this ribosomal RNA (253 nucleotides) under uncultured bacterium. RNAcentral's name for it is "partial 16S ribosomal RNA". It matches the Rfam family "Bacterial small subunit ribosomal RNA", at positions 524 to 776 of the family's 1533-position model. The record is from RNAcentral.